RNAcentral lists this non-coding RNA (252 nucleotides) under uncultured bacterium. RNAcentral describes it as "partial 16S ribosomal RNA". It matches the Rfam family "Bacterial small subunit ribosomal RNA", at positions 524 to 776 of the family's 1533-position model. The record is from RNAcentral. RNAcentral also lists the same sequence under 1 other name.
UACGGAGGAUGCGAGCGUUAUCCGGAUUUAUUGGGUUUAAAGGGUGCGUAGGCGGGCUGUUAAGUCAGCGGUCAAAUGUCGGGGCUCAACCCCGGCCUGCCGUUGAAACUGGCGGCCUCGAGUGGGCGAGAAGUAUGCGGAAUGCGUGGUGUAGCGGUGAAAUGCAUAGAUAUCACGCAGAACUCCGAUUGCGAAGGCAGCAUACCGGCGCCCUACUGACGCUGAGGCACGAAAGCGUGGGUAUCGAACAGG